Pelobates cultripes (western spadefoot toad) is the source of this 206-nucleotide non-coding RNA. Lineage: Eukaryota; Metazoa; Chordata; Amphibia; Anura; Pelobatidae. The record is from the annotation of a GenBank genome assembly.
GUAUAUUCUUUUUUAUUCUUUUGCUUUCUUUUAUCCAUUGCAAAUUGGUAAAAAAAUAUUUUCAUCAGGAAGUUCUGCUCGCCACCACAAAACUACUCUCAAACCACAAAACCUGCAUCUCCUACAUGUUUCAAGCCACAAAGUGAAAACAAAACCCAUUUCACCCUUCAGACCGACCAUCAAAAAACUCUUUAGUUGAAGACAGG